Molecule: ribosomal RNA, 445 nt
Filed under: uncultured bacterium
Lineage: Bacteria
Description: partial 16S ribosomal RNA
Rfam family: Bacterial small subunit ribosomal RNA
Source: RNAcentral
GUGAGGAAUAUUGCGCGAUGGAGGCAACUCUGACGCAGCCAUGCCGCGUGCAGGAAGAAGGCGCUACGCGUUGUAAACUGCUUUUAACCGGGAAGAAACCCCAGGACGUGUCCUGGGUUGACGGUACCGGAGGAAUAAGCACCGGCUAACUUCGUGCCAGCAGCCGCGGUAAUACGAAGGGUGUAAGCGUUAUCCGGAUUCAUUGGGUUUAAAGGGUGCGUAGGCGGAGCGUUAAGUCAGUGGUGAAAUCCUGCAGCUUAACUGUAGACUUGCCAUUGAUACUGGCGCUCUUGAGUGCGCUUGAAGUGGGCGGAAUGUGCCGUGUAGCGGUGAAAUGCUUAGAUAUGGCACAGAACACCAAUUGCGAAGGCAGCUCACUAAGGCGAUACUGACGCUGAGGCACGAAAGCGUGGGGAUCGAACAGGAUUAGAAACCCUGGUAGUCC